CCGCACACGGGCGAGCGAAGCGGCGAGAACGAUCUCGCGCGUGCGAAAACGCUUCGGCGAGUAAGCGAAGGACGACAGCUGUGAGGCGUCGUUGAUACUCGGCGAAUUCUGUGCGAGGGAAGCGGGCAAGCGGCGAGACCGACCAAGCGGAGGAUGGCAGCCGCGAGACUUCGCCGGUACUCGGCGAAUUCGUUGAUGCGAAGGACUCCACAUCGGCCAGCAACGCGAUGUACGUGCAUGCACAACCAGCUGAUCAGGCACCAAGAGCCAUGCUACCUACGUGCAUGCCGGCCGGACCUCAUCCAAGCAGAUGUACAGGUAUGAGUUCACGUAAAAUAACAGUUUUAUGACCGGCAGUUCAGCAGAUGGAUUCGCACUAAAUUUUCUGACUUUUCCCCCAUCGAGACGUUGACAUUUUCUGGUACGUGAAUCCCUCUUGGUACCAAUUUCUGGACUUAUGUCUCCCUGGCUUAUCCUAGAAGCUUGAUAAUAGUCUAUUAUACUUCAUAUAUUUAAUGACAGCUACACUGGUCGGUUCUAAAGAAAACCUAGAAACUUAAUAUUUCUGGUACACCUAGCUUUAUUGCACAUGUUGGAUUUUUCCGAUGUGGCCAAACCCCCAAAAAAAAGGUCACUAUGUCUUUGUCUCAACAGCAUCAGGCGCAAUAUGACCCCUUUGGUGGUAGCUUGCCAAGAUCACACGCUGCUUCGUGGUUGACAGUGCCGGUUCUGAUGAGAAUACUUGUAAUAUUAUGGCAAUUGUCUUUUUUGAAAAAUUGUAAUGCACAUCAGAAACAAUCUAAUCACAAAUUCGCCAAUGAGAUAUAAUAUACCUCUUUUUGUCACCAUGUACAACAAUUAACAAUUGUUGCAUAUUAUGUUUGAUAGUAGUUUUACACACAUCUUAUUUUUGUCUGAUAUUUCUAAUUCGUACAAACCAAUGCAGAUGCACAGGUUGAGCCCACCAAGCCCAGCCUCUAGGAUUGGUUGGAGAUCCAAAUAUAUGUCUAUUCAUAUAACAUAAUUUACAUACAGGGUGAAGUCCCCAAUUGAAAAGGCUUGGUCAUAUACGCUACAAUUACAUGUUCAAGUUGUUGUUUCUAUAAUAUUAUUUCAUAACGUUCCAGUUAGUGUUUUCUGAACCCAUGCACAUACAUGAGCAUGUACACAUAUCUGGUGUGGAUGAAAUUUAAUCUGGUUAUGUAUAUGCAUGUAGCUCAGUUGCGUUGAUCAAUUUAUUGCAAGUUAA
Triticum aestivum (bread wheat) is the source of this 1249-nucleotide long non-coding RNA. RefSeq lists it as uncharacterized. The record is from RefSeq and is a predicted model, not a curated record. The transcript is spliced from 2 exons. NCBI's taxonomy places the organism in Eukaryota, Viridiplantae, Streptophyta, Magnoliopsida, Poales, Poaceae.